Mastomys coucha (southern multimammate mouse) is the source of this 892-nucleotide long non-coding RNA. RefSeq lists it as uncharacterized. The record is from RefSeq and is a predicted model, not a curated record. The transcript is spliced from 5 exons. NCBI's taxonomy places the organism in Eukaryota, Metazoa, Chordata, Mammalia, Rodentia, Muridae.
CUUGCCAUGCCCAGUCCUUGUCCUCUGCUUCUGGCUUCUGUUUAAUCAACAUGAUUCUUCACCUUCCUUGUUCCUGAGCUGGAGCCACCAUAAAGGGAGGUUGCAAGCAAAGAACACUUUCUGAGUCUCUACAAGCACAUCCCUGGAGACUCUCUCAUGAAUACCACCACUGACAGGCUUUUCCAUGCAGCACUACUGUGACCAACCAUUCCUUUUGGAGGGAAGAAGACUUGAGGGAGCAGAAACAGGAAGAUCUCUGGUGGUCUCUAACCAGUUCGUUUAGCCAGUCUGCAACCAACAAGUUCAUUGAGAGACCUGUAUCAAAAGAAAUAUGGGAGCCCAACCAUUUUGGAAUUUCCUUUCCUGAGGAACAAAUUGAGUGAGUCUGUUACAGGGAGUGGCAAGCUCAGAGAUCAUUGUGGAUAUUCUGAAUCCUAUCUCCUGUUUUUUUUGGUAAGUAAAAUAAAAAAGACUGUAUCUGCCCCUCCUAAGGCCUCCUGGUCAAAAGAAUGGCUUUGGGCAGAGACAUGAGAUUCUGAUCUGCAAAAAUCAGAACAUUACAUACGUCAAGGUUUCAAAAGUUUGAAAUGAGAGCAUAAAAUUUCUGAGCUUCUAAGACUCCAGGUUUUGAUACAGUUGGACAUAAAGGUCCCACUUCCCAGUGCCUUGUAGAGUGAAUCCAGCUUGACUGGUUGGUAAGCAAGUCAGGAGUCUACCCUUCUUGGGAAGCUGAUUUAUCUGAAGCCAUUCUAAUGAGAUGGGAGGAAUAAUUAUCCCCUUAAUGAGAUAGUAUAGUACCCUUCCUAGAGGCUGCUCCUUGUGGAAGUGGCUUACAGAGCAACACUGUUAAGCCUGUCUUAUUUUCUGAAUUCAAACUUAGAAAUCUCUCUCU